RNAcentral lists this ribosomal RNA (597 nucleotides) under Bacillus licheniformis. RNAcentral describes it as "bacterial SSU rRNA". It matches the Rfam family "Bacterial small subunit ribosomal RNA", at positions 134 to 715 of the family's 1533-position model. Lineage: Bacteria; Bacillati; Bacillota; Bacilli; Caryophanales; Bacillaceae. The record is from RNAcentral.
AAGACUGGGAUAACUCCGGGAAACCGGGGCUAAUACCGGAUGCUUGAUUGAACCGCAUGGUUCAAUUAUAAAAGGUGGCUUUUAGCUACCACUUACAGAUGGACCCGCGGCGCAUUAGCUAGUUGGUGAGGUAACGGCUCACCAAGGCGACGAUGCGUAGCCGACCUGAGAGGGUGAUCGGCCACACUGGGACUGAGACACGGCCCAGACUCCUACGGGAGGCAGCAGUAGGGAAUCUUCCGCAAUGGACGAAAGUCUGACGGAGCAACGCCGCGUGAGUGAUGAAGGUUUUCGGAUCGUAAAACUCUGUUGUUAGGGAAGAACAAGUACCGUUCGAAUAGGGCGGUACCUUGACGGUACCUAACCAGAAAGCCACGGCUAACUACGUGCCAGCAGCCGCGGUAAUACGUAGGUGGCAAGCGUUGUCCGGAAUUAUUGGGCGUAAAGCGCGCGCAGGCGGUUUCUUAAGUCUGAUGUGAAAGCCCCCGGCUCAACCGGGGAGGGUCAUUGGAAACUGGGGAACUUGAGUGCAGAAGAGGAGAGUGGAAUUCCACGUGUAGCGGUGAAAUGCGUAGAGAUGUGGAGGAACACCAGUGG